RNA transcript from Triticum urartu, 1443 nucleotides. RefSeq lists it as uncharacterized. The record is from RefSeq and is a predicted model, not a curated record. Lineage: Eukaryota; Viridiplantae; Streptophyta; Magnoliopsida; Poales; Poaceae.
AAUAGGCACAAUUAACGUGUCCUCCCCUGCCGUGGACGUUGCCGCUGGCGAUUGUGACGGCCACGAGAAUCCCCUCUGUGUCGGCGUCCCUGGCGGCUGCACUCGCCGAGCCAUCCUCGGGAUCAUCCGCGGGUUCUUUCCCUUGGGCUCUCCGAGACCUAGCACCCAUUCCCUUAUUUCACCUCCCGUCGAGGAAGACCGGUAAGAGUAGGCAGGGGGAGAUGGGAAUGGGAGGUCGGUCCUGUGGUACGCGGUGAGGGACGAGGCACCGCUGCGGCAGGAGAAGAAAGCGCGGGCGGGAGCUGACGCCCGCGGAGCGCCUGCUCGACCUCGUCGAGCUGAAGCGGCUGCGGCGGGCGGGAUGGGGGACGGGUCGGUGCGGGCCAAGAAGUCCGGGGUGACGACAAGGUGAUGAAGGGCGUGUGCAGGGUGUGAUCCGGCUGCCAGGAUCUCGCUACCGUCUGGGUCGUCGGGCCGCAAUGUGGGGUGACGGAAGCCACGACAAACCCGCAGCAGCCGGUGGUGGCCGCCUCCGGUGGGCGGCACACGAGGCCUCCUAGCCGGCGUCGCAGUCGGCAAGCAAGCCUGAGAAGUGGCGUGGUGGAGCGGCCCCUGGGUUGCAGUCAUCAAUAAUAAAGGGCCUCCCUUAGCUGGUAUAAUGUGAGGUACAAGGCUGAGGAGAUUUUCAAGGAUUUGAUGGCCAAGACUCCCAAGUUCAAUGACCUGCUGCGGUUGCCCAAUCACCGAGACAGGCCCCACCGCAUUCUCCCCAUAGGAUCCUGGUCUUUCUUCGAGUGUCCGGAAAAAUGAUUCAACGCACGUUUGCCAGAAACUGUAGAAACACGUGUUGAGCAUGUCAGUCUAUGCAUGGGCAGGAGUGAACCUGUAGAUUAUGCUGGAGACGAGUAUCCAAAAAAAGUCUUCGAGAUGGCGUUGCUGCUGCUGCUGCUCCAGUGCUCCUUCUAUGGGCAAAGUGGAGGCUGCAGUUCGAGGACUUCAAGGAGGAAAGGAAGACAUGAUUGCUUCUUGGAGAGAGGCUUUCAUUUACAGAGAAGCACAUCAAUGGAGAAAAAAGGUGUGGUGAAAGGCAAUCUGUUUCAGCAUUGAGCAGUCACAUGGCAAGUAUAAGGGACAUCCUCACUGCAACAGAGAGGUUGAAAUAAGAAGUUGAGGUGAUCAAUCAAGGCAAUAAAUUGUAUCAUAUUCUUCUGAAUGAAGAGGUACCUAUCCCCACUGUUUCAAAAUCGAAUAUCGGAAUGGUGCUUUGGUUUUUUUACUCUUAUUUGUUGCAGCGCAUCGCGACGAUGACGAGCACUUGUGUUUUUGACAUGCUGCACGUCUGUUUUUGUCGACCUUUGAUUCAUGUAUAUAUGUAAAUUCUAUGGAAAUGUAUCAUAUGAAAUGUGAAUUCAUAACUCUAUGUUUGAUGUAAUCUUUAUUAUG